Molecule: long non-coding RNA, 1320 nt
Organism: Manis pentadactyla (Chinese pangolin)
Lineage: Eukaryota; Metazoa; Chordata; Mammalia; Pholidota; Manidae
Exons: 4
Source: RefSeq, a predicted model, not a curated record
CAGAUCCACAACGAGAGAGCAAGGGUGGGGGAAGGCGGAGAAAGAACUCGCGGGGGCCCAGGCAGGAGCAGGAGGAGAGCGGGGAGGCAGAGCGCACGGCGGUGGAGAGCCCCGCGAUCAAUUUUCAUGCAAGAAUCAUUAUCGCUGCGGGAGCCGGGAGUUCACUGGCCGCCGGGGCCUAAGAGGAGGAUCCCCACGCCGUGCCCAGGGGCCCUGGCCCGCCUUUUGUGAAACCCACACGGGGCUGCGGAAGCGCACACACCGGCCCGGCCCAGGGGCCCCUCAGUGCCACAACCAGCGGAAUCGCAACUUGGUGACAUUAGGAUCACCUUUUGACACCAGAUAUAAUCUUCUCGGUUUGAGGAACAGACCUGAGCCCGCAGGUACGCACGGAGGGGCACCGCGGUCACGCCAGGCUUGGGUUUCUGCCAACGCUUUCCAGCCACUGCGUAAAUCAGGGGUCCCCAGAGGCAGCCCCGGGGUCCCUGCUAAGCGCGGCGGCUUCAGAUGACAAUUGAACUCCCGGAAUAUGUGACUAGGAGAGCUCUGGAGGGCAACCUGGCGGAAUGGGGUGUCUAGGCGUGCUUUCCGACCCCUCCAUGCCACCCCUACGCCCAACGCGCCAGAAAAAUCUUAAAUGGACUGGGCGGAGCGCUCGGAGCCAAGGAGGGGUGGCGCUCGUCCCUGCCGCCACCAAUGGCUGGGUGGGUGCAGCGCCAGGCGGCAGCCUUCGCCGCCGGCUGGGCUGCCGCGGGUGCAAGAAGCGUCCUUUAAUCCCCAGGCCCCGCCGCCCCCCGCCCCCAAGCUCCUCCCCGCGGGCGGCCGAGCGCGCGCGGGCACCCGGAGGGCGCGGGGGCUGCUGACCUGAAGGGAACGGGCCCUCGGGGCCGCCCGCCCGCGCGCGCCGCCAGCAUCUGGCCGCUCCGCCCAGCGCUGACCCGGGAGGUCGCACCCGGCCCGCGGCGGCGGCGGCCCUUUGUUUCCGGGGCUGCGUGGCGGCGCGCUCCCCGCGCCUCCCCCUGCGCCUGCCGCCGCCGCCGGCCUCACGAGGGAGGCUACUGCCCGGCACGGUGGGUUCGGGGUCCAGCACCUGCCCGCCCCGGCCCCACCCCCACUCAAGCCCCGCUUUCGCCUCCCAGCCAUUUAUCACUCUCAUCACCGGCAUACUUGAUAAUCUGCGCCCCUCGGGGAGUGGGGAAGGGGUGGGGCGCACCAGGGUGCGCAGCUGGGGACCCUGGGUGAGCUGCCGCCCACCCUCCAACCCCUCAUAAGCUUGGAAAAAAAUCUCUGCUCCUACUUGGGGGAAAAAAAUAAAACUAU